Molecule: long non-coding RNA, 2445 nt
Organism: Mobula hypostoma (lesser devil ray)
Lineage: Eukaryota; Metazoa; Chordata; Chondrichthyes; Myliobatiformes; Myliobatidae
Exons: 7
Source: RefSeq, a predicted model, not a curated record
GAGAAUGUGAAAUAACCGCAAGAAAAUGAUGGGCAGCAAACUAGGUAAACAUUUUGUUGGAUUGAAAAAUCAGGGAGCCACAAGUUAUCUGAACACAUUACUUCAAACAUGGUUCAUGACCCAGGAAGUUAGAGAAUGCAUUGCCAGUAGGAUUGAGAAUUGCAUAAUGACUCAACUGUUUCCUGUGGCAGAGAAUUCCACAGAUUCACCACUCUGUGAAGAAGUUUUUCCUAAUCUCGGUCCUAAAUGGCUUCCCCUCUAUCCUCAAACUGUGACCCCUCGUUCUGGACUUCCCUAACAUCGGGAACAAUCUUCCAGCAUCUAGCCUGUCCAAUCCCUUUAGGAUCUUAUACGUUUCAAUCAGAUCCCCCCUCAAUCUUCUAAAUUCCAACGAGUACAAGCCCAGUUCAUCCAGUCUUUCUUCAUAUGAAAGUCCUGCCAUCCCAGGAAUCAAUCUGGUGAAUAGAGGGAUAUUAGCCGAACAAAGGCAAAUGGAACUAGCUUAGAUGUGAAUCUUGGUCAACACAGACCAGUUAGGCCAAAGAUGCCAUUUCUACACUGGAGGACACUGUGUUUUGGGGAAAAUAUAUAUCCAGAUUGAUAAAAGUUUUAGAACUUAAAAAUUGGUGAUGAGCAUUUAUUUGGAAUGGGGAAUGCAACCCAUAUAACCGCAGGUAAGGGAUUACCAGAGGAAGGAAUGCAAUGAUGAUGUUUGGAAGUUCAGUACUUUAUUCAAGACUUAAGACAAGGACAGAACAUGUUGGAAAUAAUCAGCAUCUCAGGGUGGUCCUAUUGGUGGACAAAUGGGAGUUCAUGGUUUACAGCAGAAGUAGUUACUAUUGCUUAUUGAUUAUUCAGUCAUGAUUGAUUAACUCAAUUCUAAAAAUAACAGGAGGGUCAGGAAAGUAACAUCUAUUCUGCAGGUACAGGGACAUUUCAAAAUUAAAAUGUAUAUCAAAUUGAUAUUUGUGUUGGGCACAUCAUUGGGGAAAAAGUUCUGAGUUCAAUGAUUUUUCGGAAGACUGGGAAAAUCAACACUGUGAAUUUGUAAAGGGAAAAUCAUAUUAAAAUAAUUGGUUAUUUUUAUCAAAUGGGUAACACAUAAUGUGGGUCAAAGUAAAUUUAUGACCAAUAUAUAUGCUUGUCACCAUAUACAACUCUGAUCCAUUUUCUUACAGGUAUACUCAAUAAAUUCAGUAACCAUCAUACUUUCAAUUAAAGACUGCACCCAACGAGGCAGACAACCAAUGUGCAAAAGGCACCAACCUUGUAAAUACAAAAGAAAAAUACAAAAUCAGGAAAAAAAUCUGAUAAAUAUGGAGUCCUUGAGAGUGAUUCAAGAGGUUGUGGGAACAGUUCAGUGAUGGGCAAGUGAAGUUGAGUGAAGUUAUCCUCUGGUUCAAGCGCUGAUGGUUGAAGGGUAAUAACUGUUCCUGAACAUGGCUGUGUGAGUCCUUGCGUUCCUGUAUCUUCCUGAUGGCGACAGGAGCAGAGAGCAUGUCCUGGGUGGUGGGGGUUCCUGAUGAUGGAUGCAGGUUCCCUGCGACAGAACUCCAUGUAGAUGUGCUCACUGGCAAGGAGGGCUUUACCUGUGAUAGACUGGGCUGUAUCCACUACUCUGUUAUCGGAUUCUCAGUGCAAUGGCAUUGGUGUUUCCAUACCAGACCAUGAUGCAGCCAGUCAAUAAGCUUGCCACUACACAGCUACAGAGGUUGGCUGGAGUUUUAGAUGUCAUCCUCAAUCUUCUUAGAGGUGCUGCCGUGCUUUCUUCAUAAUUGCACUGAAAUGCUGGGCCCAGGACAGGUGUCCUCGGAAAUGAUAGCACUGCGGAGUUUAAAGUUGCUGACCCUCUCAGAGGUUUUAAGCAAUGUAAAAUUUAACAGUUUCAGAUUAUUUGCAGCUGCAAAGAAGAAGAUUCAUUAAUUUGCGAGUUGCGAUGUCCGUUUGAACGAUUAUCAGAUGAGAAUGAAUGGUCCUUGAGCACAGAACAGUUGACCUCCCAAUUGAAUUUGAAUGUUUACGAACAGAGAAAUAUAGAAGAAUGUUUUCACAGUCUGGUGAACAAGCUGAAUAGCAAAAUGGAUCAGGAGCAUAAUCUUCUGAAGAUCCUCCUUGAUGGUAGCAGUGAGAAGAGGGCAUGUCCUGGCUGAUGGAGGUCCUCAGUGAUGGCUGCCACCUUUUUGAGGAAGGCCUUUUGAAGAUGUCCUCAGUACUGGGAAGAUGCUGCCUGGCCUGGUGAGUUCCUCCAGCAUUUUGUGUGUUUUGCUUGGCAUCAGUUGAAAAUGAGAAGGAAAAGAUUUAAAGGGGACUUGAGAGUUAAGUUUUUCACAGAGGUUUUUGGGUACGUGGAACCAGCUGCAAGAUGAAGUGGUAGAGAAGUGGUUUGCCAUUGCCUUCUUCAGGGUGGUGUCUUUACAGCCAAUAUCAACGUUCUUCAGAAAUUGU